AGAGUUUGAUCCUGGCUCAGGAUGAACGCUGGCGGCGUGCUUAACACAUGCAAGUCGAACGGAGAAUUGAAGCUUGCUUCAAUUCUUAGUGGCGGACGGGUGAGUAACGCGUGGGUAACCUGCCCUUAAGUGGGGGACAACAGUUGGAAACGACUGCUAAUACCGCAUAAAGUUAAGAGCCUGCAUGGGCUUUUAACCAAAGGAGUAAUCCGCUUUUGGAUGGACCCGCGUCUGAUUAGCUAGUUGGUGGGGUAACGGCUCACCAAGGCGACGAUCAGUAGCCGGCCUGAGAGGGUGAUCGGCCACACUGGGACUGAGACACGGCCCAGACUCCUACGGGAGGCAGCAGUGGGGAAUCUUCCGCAAUGGACGAAAGUCUGACGGAGCAACGCCGCGUGAGGGAUGAAGGCCUUCGGGUUGUAAACCUCUGUCUUCAGGGAAGAAAAAAAUGACGGUACCUGAGGAGGAAGCCCCGGCUAACUACGUGCCAGCAGCCGCGGUAAUACGUAGGGGGCGAGCGUUAUCCGGAAUUAUUGGGCGUAAAGGGCGCGUAGGCGGAUAUUUAAGUCAGAUGUGAAAUCCCGAGGCUUAACUUCGGGCGUGCAUUUGAAACUGGGUGGCUAGAGUGCAGGAGAGGUAAGUGGAAUUCCUAGUGUAGCGGUGAAAUGCGUAGAUAUUAGGAGGAACACCAGUGGCGAAGGCGACUUACUGGACUGUAACUGACGCUGAGGCGCGAAAGCGUGGGGAGCAAACAGGAUUAGAUACCCUGUAGUCCACGCUGUAAACGAUGGAUACUAGGU
Molecule: ribosomal RNA, 800 nt
Filed under: uncultured bacterium
Lineage: Bacteria
Description: bacterial SSU rRNA
Rfam family: Bacterial small subunit ribosomal RNA
Source: RNAcentral